AUGGUGCCUUUAGCUGCUUCAAACAGAGGCCGAUCCCUUCUAGAUUUCAUCUGCUCUUGCGCCCAUAGAGAUUUGCUGCUUUCGGUUUUCUCCUCUGGAAAUCUGCAGUACGGAGGGCAGCGAGAGGUUCGCUGGUGCAGCGCACAGGAGACCACGUCCGGGGGCAGCAGCUGCAGCCAGACCCCAAGUCGGGCCAUCCCCGCCACUCGCCGGGUGGUGCUCGGCGACGGCGUGCAGCUCCCGCCCGGGGACUACAGCACGACCCCCGGCGGCACACUCUUCAGCACCACCCCGGGAGGUACCAGGAUCAUCUAUGACCGGAAAUUCCUGAUGGAGUGUCGGAACUCACCUGUGACCAAAACACCCCCGAAGGAUCUGCCUGCCAUUCCCGGGGUCACCAGCGCUUCCAGUGAUGAGCCCCCCACGGAAGCCAGCCAGAGCCACCUGCGUAAUAGCCCAGAAGAUAAGCGGGCAGGCGGUGAAGAGUCACAGUUUGAGAUGGACAUUUAAAGCACCAGCCCCUCAGGGCCUUCCUGGGAGGAGUCCCACCAGCCAGGCCUUAUGAAAGUGAUCAUACUGGGCAGGCGUUGGCGUGGGGUCGGUCACCCCAGCCCUUUCUCCCUCACUCAGGGCACCUGCCCCCUCCUCUUUGUGAACACCAGCAGAUACCUCCUUGUGCCUCCACUGAUGCAGGAGCUGCCGCCCCAAGGGGAGUGACCCCUGCCAGCACACCCUGCAGCUGAGGGCCAGGAAGUGGACAAGAACAAACCCUUCCUUCCAAAUGAUGAGCAAUUCCAGCCUCUCGCUGCUGGGGGCACAACCACCCCUUCCUUAUGUUGAUGUGCCUGGGAAAGUUCCCUCUCCCUCCUUCCCUAAGAGAGGAAAUAAAAGCCACCUUCGCCCUAGGGCCAAGAAAAAAAAAAAA
Rhinopithecus roxellana (golden snub-nosed monkey) is the source of this 925-nucleotide RNA transcript. It is a transcript of the gene named eukaryotic translation initiation factor 4E-binding protein 1 pseudogene, with no coding region annotated. NCBI's taxonomy places the organism in Eukaryota, Metazoa, Chordata, Mammalia, Primates, Cercopithecidae. The transcript is spliced from 2 exons. The record is from RefSeq and is a predicted model, not a curated record.